GAACAACUGGUUUCUACUGGUUUCGUGCAGGCUGUACUUGGGUCUUCUUGUGAUCCUUGCAAUCAAGCAAUCUUCAGGUGUCCAAGGACAGGAAAAGACAAGAUCUCCCACAGUCUAAUUUUCCAGCCUAAACAAAGAAAGAAGACAUUUCUGAGGAAGUUCUCUUCGUGUCCAAAGACCGAAAAUGUAGCAAGGACUUCUUUAUGUGAGAUGACUUCAUUUAUACUUGUGUGGGCUAUAAAUGAGCUUUCCAAUUGCGUGAAGAAAAAAUCCAGAAACACAAAGUGGAAACCUGGAAAGCUUAGAAGAAAAGGCAAACGCUUUUCCCACAGCCUAACUACACUGAGUCCUGUCUCUCCCUAUUCCACAAUCUCCAGCUUUAUGCCAGUAUAAAUCCAAUGAAUUCUGUGGCACUAUUUGUCUGUGGAUCUUUCCAACAAUGUCACAAAGUGCUGAACCAAGCUCAGAAUUUAAAACAAAUAAAAUGGAAGCUCCCAUGUUUAAGCAAGAAUAAAGGGGCAUAGGUCCUUUGUAAAAUACGCAGCGUUUUUAUUGUCAUGUGGAUUUGAAUGGAUGAUCUGACGGGAAACUACAGCUUACAGUUCUGAGGAUUCUCCUCUGGUUUUUGGCAUCUUCCAUUUCCAGGUGGGAAAUGAGCUUGUUUCUUUUUAAGUAUAAAAGAAAAGAAAACAAAACAAAACAAAAACCCAACAAAUUCAUACUCUAGCUAAAAACAAAUUCUGCAAAUACUAUUAACUCAGCCAUAUGGUAAAGUAAACAAUCGCUUGAUAGUAAAGCAGGUGAAGUAUCAAAGAAGCUCUGUUUUAAUAGUAUUUAUUUGCAAUCAUUAGUUUUAAGUGGGAAACUGUUUACAGGCACACACUAGAUAACCAAAAUAGAAUGAACAUAAAGAGAUCUAUUUGAAGGUCCUUUUCAAAUAUUUCAAAUAUUUUAUUAAAUAUUUUAUUCAGUUUCUUGAUCACAGUUUAAUGUAUUUUAGCAUGUUAUACACAUGACUUAACAUGUGCACUUAAAAAUAUCAAAUUAGAUAGAGGUUUUGAAGAAAGCAUGACAUUUUAUAAAUGUGCUUAUUGACUUUUAACUACACACAUCUAAGAAGGCAGUAGCUCCGUUAUACCACUUAUGGAGAUAAACUAUUAUAAGGCAUGUUUACACCAAGCUUUGGAAAGAAUAAAGCCAAAUACUGGGUCAAAAUUUAGUGGAAUUAUGUAUGAGAGUAAAAGUUGAAGGAUUGGGCCCUAGGAAGAGAGAUCAGAGCAAAUCAGUUGUGUUAGAGCUGUGAACACAGACUGGUGAUGGAAAGCAAGCACUGCUGAGGAAGAAGGUUUUCACAGCGUCUGAACUUUCUUCAGACAUUUCUGAAAUCACACCUUAUGGCGUAAUGUGAAAGGAAGAGAAUGAAAUCUACCAAGAAAGUUUGAAAACUGUUGUCUGAGAAACCUCGUGUUGUUUUAUGAACUGAGGUGGGAAUGCAUUUAUAGAGGUAACGUCUUGCAAGUCCUUGCACACUAAUGUGUGUGUGUGUGCACGUGCAUACACAUACACGGACACACAUCUCUCUCUCUCUUUUGUCACCUCCAAACCACGGAUCAAAGUGUUGCAGUGCAUGGGAGAAAAUAAAGUUUCAGUUGUAUGGGUUAGAAGAUCAGAUUAGACCACUACAUUCAGAAGCCCAGUUAGUUAGCCUGUACAUUGUGUCAGCAGAUGUAUUUUUUCCAGUAGAGUACAGUGUGGGUCUGCUGGCAUACCGUAACAGUCAGGACCCAGAAAUGACAAUAUAAUUCUUUGGAAGAACUCAACAAGUGUUCCGCUAUUGCAUGUGCUUUAAAACUCCGUGCCAGUGAAGACCCUAGGUCAAAAUAUCACGCCUCAGCCAGAAACACCACGCAAGCCCAAGCUCAACUCUGAGAGCACAGUGGUCCAUAAUCGGGGCUCCUGCACUGCCACAGUGCAAACAACAACGCUACCCCUCAAGUAAGGAUGGUUUUAAGCGUAAGCUUAGGUGUGUUGCUGAGUGGAGAUCUCAAGUCAGCUCUUCCUAGGUGUCUGUCUUAGAAGAAUCAGUGGGAGAACAUAAAAUAUACAUCCAUUUGAUAAGCUUCUUCAAAGUUGUCCAUUCAGUAGAAAAUACUGAGUAUAUAAGUGAUUAUAAUAGUAGUUAGGUGAGAGAAUAAACCUCACUGCGCCUUUUAAUUGGGAAAUACAGGGGAGGAGGCAAAAAA
This is a non-coding RNA of Anas platyrhynchos (mallard), 2243 nucleotides long. The record is from RefSeq and is a predicted model, not a curated record. Lineage: Eukaryota; Metazoa; Chordata; Aves; Anseriformes; Anatidae.